This 371-nucleotide ribosomal RNA is filed under the name uncultured organism. RNAcentral's name for it is "bacterial SSU rRNA". It matches the Rfam family "Bacterial small subunit ribosomal RNA", at positions 526 to 896 of the family's 1533-position model. The record is from RNAcentral.
CAGAGGGGGCAAGCGUUGUUCGGAAUUACUGGGCGUAAAGGGCGCGUAGGCGGCCUGCUAAGUCGAACGUGAAAUCCCUGGGCUCAACCCAGGAACUGCGUCCGAUACUGGUUGGCUUGAAUUCGGGAGAGGGAUGUGGAAUUCCAGGUGUAGCGGUGAAAUGCGUAGAUAUCUGGAGGAACACCGGUGGCGAAGGCGGCAUCCUGGACCGAUAUUGACGCUGAUGCGCGAAAGCCAGGGGAGCAAACGGGAUUAGAUACCCCGGUAGUCCUGGCCCUAAACGAUGAAUGCUUGGUGUGGCGGGUAUCGAUCCCUGCCGUGCCGAAGCUAACGCAUUAAGCAUUCCGCCUGGGGAUACGGUCGCAAGGCUG